CGAAGCGCUGGCUGCUUGUGCCUUUGAAGUCUCCUGACCCGGGUGGGCUCGGGUUGAGAGACUGAGCCAAGCCGCCCUGGACGGCCCAGAGAUGGGGACACCAAGAGACUCCCGCGGCAGUGGCAACGACCUGGUCCUCUUCUCCCUGGAACCUCCUGGCCGGGCGGGGCCUCGAGCGCUACACCCUCCAGAGAAUCAAGAAUCUGAUGCUUGGACCGGUUUAAGGUCACUUGACUGGUAAGUGGUGGCACAAGGAUUUAAACCUCGCCCAACUCCAGACUCCAUGCUCUUUACUAAAUGACCUGUUUUUGAACCAUUGUGUGACCAGGCCAGACAGAUCCAGGCCGUGCUUGGAGAGCUGAUGAACAGAGGGAGUACUGUUGUAAGUUCUCCAAGGGAAAUAAACAGGGUAAUAAAAUUGUAACUGGGAAGCCCACUUUAGAUCUGGUGUGUGUGGUGGGGAGAAACCUUUCUGCAGAGUGGAUAUUUCAGUGGAGACCUGAAAGAUGAGAAAGAGACAGCCACAAAAAGAGGUAGGGUGGAAGGGGGAAAGUAUUUCAUGCAGAGGAAAGAGCAAGUGCAAAGACGUUGGCAUAGGAAAGGGCUUUGGUGGUCAAGAAACACCAAGGAGGCCAGUGUGACAGAAACAUAGCGAGUCAGGGAGAAAGUGGGAGACUUGAGGUCACAGUGGAAGGAAGGGAGGGAAUUGGCCUCAGGUUAUGACAAGGACUGAGGAUUUUAUUCUAAGAGGAAUAGCCUAGGGAGGCAUUGAGGGCUUUUAACUGGAGCAGUAGCAAAGUCUGAUUCAUAUCUUUGAAAAGACACCUGCUGCUGUUUGGAGGAAGGAUCCUAGUGGGCCAGAGUGGAAGCCAGGAAUCCAGUGAGAUGAGGAGACCAUGGCUGUAAUCCAGGGGAGAGGUGAUAGGCUGCUAGCUCUAAGGUGUGGAGUAGGGAUGGAGGGAAGUAAAUAGAUUCAAAAUAUAUUUUGGAAGCAGG
RNAcentral lists this long non-coding RNA (996 nucleotides) under Equus caballus (horse). RNAcentral's name for it is "lncRNA (ENSECAG00000055830.1)". Lineage: Eukaryota; Metazoa; Chordata; Mammalia; Perissodactyla; Equidae. The record is from RNAcentral.